GGCGCAUUCGUCUAGUGGUUAGGACGCGGGCCUCUCAAGCCCGAAGCAGGGGUUCGAAUCCCCUAUGCGCCA
This 72-nucleotide transfer RNA is filed under the name Chloroflexota bacterium. RNAcentral describes it as "Chloroflexi bacterium (hot springs metagenome) tRNA-Glu". It matches the Rfam family "tRNA". Rfam says of the family: Transfer RNA (tRNA) molecules are approximately 80 nucleotides in length. Their secondary structure includes four short double-helical elements and three loops (D, anti-codon, and T loops). RNAcentral also lists the same sequence under 1 other name. Lineage: Bacteria; Bacillati; Chloroflexota. The record is from RNAcentral.